UACAGAGGGGGCAAGCGUUGUUCGGAAUUACUGGGCGUAAAGGGCGCGUAGGCGGCCUGUUAAGUCGAACGUGAAAUCCCUGGGCUCAACCCAGGAACUGCGUCCGAUACUGGCAGGCUUGAAUCCGGGAGGGGGAUGCGGAAUUCCAGGUGUAGCGGUGAAAUGCGUAGAUAUCUGGAGGAACACCGGUGGCGAAGGCGGCAUCCUGGACCGGCAUUGACGCUGAGGCGCGAAAGCGUGGGGAGCAAACAGG
RNAcentral lists this ribosomal RNA (253 nucleotides) under uncultured bacterium. RNAcentral describes it as "partial 16S ribosomal RNA". It matches the Rfam family "Bacterial small subunit ribosomal RNA", at positions 524 to 776 of the family's 1533-position model. The record is from RNAcentral.